This 274-nucleotide unclassified non-coding RNA is filed under the name fungal sp. Its description in RNAcentral is "partial internal transcribed spacer region". The stretch from base 1 to 46 matches the Rfam family "Eukaryotic small subunit ribosomal RNA", at positions 1786 to 1831 of the family's 1831-position model. The record is from RNAcentral. Lineage: Eukaryota; Fungi.
AAGUCGUAACAAGGUUUCCGUAGGUGAACCUGCGGAAGGAUCAUUAACACGUAUCCAACGUUUAACCACCCGUGCACCUUCAUCGAAUACCCGUCGCUUGAUGAUUCGUUGCGAAGAUGGCUUUCGGCCUUGUGGCUACACAAAGGGAGUUGAAAUGCGACUGAGGGACCUUGUGGCUUGCUCUGACAUGCGGAACGACGAGAAGAAUGUGAAGGUCCGUUUCGUGGUGCCGGCUGCCUCCGAACAACUGUUAGCAAUGGAUAUCUUGGCUCUC